RNAcentral lists this ribosomal RNA (1920 nucleotides) under Triticum aestivum (bread wheat). Its description in RNAcentral is "partial small subunit ribosomal RNA". The record is from RNAcentral. Lineage: Eukaryota; Viridiplantae; Streptophyta; Magnoliopsida; Poales; Poaceae.
AUGGAUCAUCCAGAAAAUAUAGUAACACAACUUAUCCAUGAAGAGCACAGAUCAAAAUGGAUAGCACGUAGCAAUCAUAAUGUGAAAUGUUUUACAGAAAAUGAGAUAAACAGAUUUACUGACAACUAUAAGACUUUACUGGGUAGAGGUGCCUUCGGAGAAGUUUAUCAAGGAGUCCUUGAGGACAAAAGUAUGGUUGCAGUCAAGAAGUUUAUCUGCAAUGUAAAAGAAGAUUUUGCCAAAGAGUUGCUCGUCCACCGUGAGAUCAAUCACAAGAAUGUCGUCAGAUUAGUCGGCUACUGUAUUGAUGAAAAUGCCCUAAUGGUGGUCACGGAGUAUAUUCCUAAAGGAAAUCUGAGUGACAUCCUUCACGGCGAUAGCAUUCACAUUGCUUUGGAUACACGGCUAAGAAUUGCCAUUGAAUGUGCAGAAGCGUUGGGCUAUAUGCAUUCACAAAUGUAUACUCAGGUCAUUCAUGGUGAUAUCAAGCCUGCUAAUAUACUUCUGGAUGAUGGACUCAGAGCAAAAAUAUCAGACUUUGGAAUAUCAAGACUAGUCAACACUGAAAAUACUUUAUAUACUCUAAAUGUGAUAGGAAGUAUAGGCUACAUGGACCCUCUAUUUGCUCAGAAUGGUCGCCUCACAGCAAAAAGUGAUGUUUAUAGUUUUGGAGUUGUGCUUCUGGAGCUCAUAACGAGAAAAAAAGCAAGAACAGAGAAUGGGGAGAUCGGCUUGGUUGAAAGUUUUAUUCAAUCUCUUUCAAAAGGGUUUAGGAGGGUGAGGGAGAUGUUUGAUCCUGAAAUUGCAACAUCAAGUGACAUGAAGACUGUCGAUGAGAUUGCUAAGUUGGCUGGUAAAUGCUUGAAGAUGGAACUCAACAAACGUCCUGAGAUGUUAGAAGUUGUAGAACGUCUUCGCAAACUUAGAAAAGCUCCACAUCAGGUACAAGGAAGACUAGCUUUUUUUCCUUUGGGGAGGAAAAAUAAACUAGCUCCAGCCGAAACACCAUCACUAGAAAGCAGCAGCAGUACCCAAAAUGUUGGAACUUUUAUUGUUAGGUCGACAGUGGCAGGCCAAUCGUUCGAGCUGGAAGACCUGCUUCGGGGGUCAGCUGAAAUUCUGGGCAAGGGUACCGUCGGGACAACAUACAAAGCAACGCUUGAAGGUGGUUAUGAGUUGGUGGUCAAGAGGCUGAAGGGUAUGCAUUUGCCGAAGGCGGAUUUCGAGCAGCAUAUCACGGUGAUUGGCGCCAUCCAGAACAAACACAUUGUGCCACUACGGUGGUAUUACUAUAGCACGGAAGAGCAGUUGCUAGUGUAUGAUAUCAUCCCCAUGGGUAGCCUGGCAAAAGUGCUCCACGGUGACAGAGACUCCGGCCCAUCUCUGCUGGACUGGGAGCAGCGGUCAGCUAUCUCACUUGCUGCUGCGCGCGGUGUGGAGGCUAUCCACUUAGCUGGACCAUCGAGCUGCCAUGGCAACAUUAAGUCUUCCAACAUUCUGCUCACCGGCACCCACGAUGCAUGUGUGUCGGAGCAUGGCCUGAUAACACUUGGUGUGUAUUCCAGCGCCUCCGGCUACUGUGCUCCUGAGGUCAAUCACAAUAGGUCAGUCUCCCAGAAAGCUGAUGUGUACAGCUUUGGCAUCCUAAUGCUGGAGCUUCUCAGCAGCAAGGCUCCAGCAAAGAGCAUACAGAAUAAGAAGGGACUAGAUUUGGCACGGUGGGUGUGUUCCAUCACACCUGAGGAGUGGACAGAGGAGGUGUUCGACGUGGAGCUCCUAGGACAACAGCAGAAGGACGGAGAAGUGGACUGCAUGUUGCGAUUUCUGCAGCUCGCCCUAAACUGUUGCAGUCAAGAUGCCGACUGGAGGCCUGCAAUGUCUUAUGUCGUGCAGCAGAUCGAGGAGAUCCAACAAUCCUGA